This is a non-coding RNA of Paramuricea clavata, 510 nucleotides long. NCBI's taxonomy places the organism in Eukaryota, Metazoa, Cnidaria, Anthozoa, Malacalcyonacea, Plexauridae. The record is from the annotation of a GenBank genome assembly.
GCCGUCAAAAAUCAUCGAAAAAUUGUUCAUUUCUAAAGUUUUUUGCAUAUUUUUGUUUAUAUUUACGCUUUGGGUGGUGGAAUUUGGUUGGGAGGAUAUAGGUAUAUAGCCAUGGAUCAGAAGUCUUAUAAAAUGUACGUAUAUGAGAUGGAAAGGGCAAAAUAUCACAUAUAUAAAACCGUUUUACUUAUUAUUGCAGUAUUUUAUAGAACCAAUUAUUUGCAAUUUCUUUAUCAUCCUAAUUCUUAAUACUUCUUGCAUGAUAUCUAGUCUAGUUUGUGGUGAUGUAAAUGGAAAGUUAAAGACAUUAUACACAAGAGUUGCCAAUAUCCUCAAGAAAUCUGGUGAUUUUGAGGUAAAAUCUUGUUGAAGAUAUUUGGAACUUGAUAAUUUCCAAGUUGAUCAAGAAAUGUUUUCAUUACUAGAUGUUGCUCUGUGUUGGAAAAUUUUUUGGUACGACAGAAGAGGACAAAAAAGUCUGGCAGGAAUUCAAAGAUGGCAUUUCAAAUG